AGUUUGANCCUGGCUCAGGAUGAACGCUGGCGGCGUGCCUAAUACAUGCAAGUCGAACGAGUUCUCGUUGAUGAUCGGUGCUUGCACCGAGAUUCAACAUGGAACGAGUGGCGGACGGGUGAGUAACACGUGGGUAACCUGCCCUUAAGUGGGGGAUAACAUUUGGAAACAGAUGCUAAUACCGCAUAGAUCCAAGAACCGCAUGGUUCUUGGCUGAAAGAUGGCGUAAGCUAUCGCUUUUGGAUGGACCCGCGGCGUAUUAGCUAGUUGGCGAGGUAAUGGCUCACCAAGGCGAUGAUACGUAGCCGAACUGAGAGGUUGAUCGGCCACAUUGGGACUGAGACACGGCCCAAACUCCUACGGGAGGCAGCAGUAGGGAAUCUUCCACAAUGGACGCAAGUCUGAUGGAGCAACGCCGCGUGAGUGAAGAAGGCUUUCGGGUCG
Molecule: ribosomal RNA, 444 nt
Filed under: Lacticaseibacillus paracasei
Lineage: Bacteria; Bacillati; Bacillota; Bacilli; Lactobacillales; Lactobacillaceae
Description: bacterial SSU rRNA
Rfam family: Bacterial small subunit ribosomal RNA
Source: RNAcentral